UGUGGCAAGCGAGCACAGUACAACUACGGGAGGUACACGGUUUGGUUGUCUGUCUCCCUUGUGCAUGAGGCAUACCCAGGAGAGAGCCAUGGUGUAAAGGUAGCAUCCAUUACCCAAAACAGGGGUUCGUGGUCCUCCAUAUGUUCUUCGAUCUUGAGAAGAGAAAGCAAUGCUGCUGCGCUGUCGUGCCGGGUGUCGUUGGACACAACAGCAUAACAAACACUUCUCCUUUCGGCCCGCUUCUUUCUGGACCUUCCUGAUGUGGUCAUCGCUGAUAUAGGAGCACCCACUUUCUAAUUACUUCAAUGAAGUUGCGCGCAGUUAAUGUCCUCCUCAGCAGGCCUCUUUCCUCCCAUAUUGCGAAAUCAAUUUCUUGGUCAUCUUGGAUGCCCAGACUUUCUUCAGUAAGUGUUUCUGUACCUGGACACUGUUCGCAAUCC
This is a long non-coding RNA of Ornithodoros turicata, 440 nucleotides long. RefSeq lists it as uncharacterized. The transcript is spliced from 3 exons. The record is from RefSeq and is a predicted model, not a curated record. NCBI's taxonomy places the organism in Eukaryota, Metazoa, Arthropoda, Arachnida, Ixodida, Argasidae.